AUUGAACGCUGGCGGCAUGCCUUACACAUGCAAGUCGAACGGUAACAGGUCUUCGGAUGCUGACGAGUGGCGAACGGGUGAGUAAUACAUCGGAACGUGCCUAGUAGUGGGGGAUAACUACUCGAAAGAGUGGCUAAUACCGCAUGAGAUCUACGGAUGAAAGCAGGGGAUCGCAAGACCUUGUGCUACUAGAGCGGCCGAUGGCAGAUUAGGUAGUUGGUGGGAUAAAAGCUUACCAAGCCGACGAUCUGUAGCUGGUCUGAGAGGACGAUCAGCCUAACUGGGACUGAGACACGGCACAGACUCCUACGGGAGGCAGCAGUGGGGAAUUUUGGACAAUGGGCGAAAGCCUGAUUCAGCAAUGCCGCGUGCAGGAUGAAGGCCUUCGGGUUGUAAACUGCUUUUGUACGGAACGAAAAGCCCCGGGUUAAUACCCUGGGGUCAUGACGGUACCGUAAGAAUAAGCACCGGCUAACUACGUGCCAGCCGCCGCAGUAA
RNAcentral lists this ribosomal RNA (498 nucleotides) under uncultured bacterium. RNAcentral's name for it is "partial 16S ribosomal RNA". It matches the Rfam family "Bacterial small subunit ribosomal RNA", at positions 30 to 523 of the family's 1533-position model. The record is from RNAcentral.